UCACGCCCCACCUCGGGCCCGCCUCCGGCCGCCAUCUCCAGUGUGGCUGGAUGUAAAGUGAGCAAGCUAGAAACCCGAGAAGGGAGGAGAGGGAUGGGGAUCAAAUGUAUCAGAAAGGAGCUAAAUCUGAUGACAGCAAGACCAACCAGACACUCCUUUUCCUCCUUGUCCUCAGCCUACUCAACGUGAAGACAAUGAGAAGCCCUUUGUGAUGAUCCACGUCCACCUAAUGAAUAACCAAGUCAUCUGACUCCAACCUAACUCUGGGAAACUGAGAAAUGGCUUCUGUGUGCUCAGGAAGAAGAAACAGAUGGGAUUGGUGAGCAUCUAGCCAAUUUCCACCACAAAUGCUCAUUUUGGCUGCCUCCAGGCCAAAGGUAAAAACUAAAAAGCCAGAGAAUACUAAAUGUUGGCCAAGAUGAGGAAAACAGAAACUCUCAUCCUCUGCUAGUUGGAAUGAAAAUUGAUGCAACGUCCCUGGAAAACAGUUUGGUAUUACCUAGCAAAGUAGAACCUGUGCCUCCCCUACAACCCAGCAAUUCCACUCCUGGUAUACAAUCAAAAUAAACUUUUGUACUUGUAUCCCAAAUAA
RNAcentral lists this long non-coding RNA (592 nucleotides) under Homo sapiens (human). Its description in RNAcentral is "HSALNT0311260". The record is from RNAcentral. Lineage: Eukaryota; Metazoa; Chordata; Mammalia; Primates; Hominidae.